RNAcentral lists this transfer RNA (77 nucleotides) under Araucaria angustifolia. RNAcentral describes it as "tRNA-Val". It matches the Rfam family "tRNA". From Rfam's summary of the family: Transfer RNA (tRNA) molecules are approximately 80 nucleotides in length. Their secondary structure includes four short double-helical elements and three loops (D, anti-codon, and T loops). Lineage: Eukaryota; Viridiplantae; Streptophyta; Pinopsida; Araucariales; Araucariaceae. The record is from RNAcentral.
GGGCUAUAGCUCAGCAAGGUAGAGCACCUCGUUUACACUUACCGAGAAGGUCUACGGUUCGAGCCCGUAUAGCCCUA